ACAGAUGAUCAGUGCCAGAUGAAAAGCUAACCUUAAUGUGUUCAAGUGUGCAUGAUUUGGUUUAAAUGUGCCUUUAGAGAUAAAGAACAAGCAAAGUCUAUACUCUAUUGCCAGCAUCAGUGUGAUGAUAAAGGUAAACCACCUAGUAAAAAUUGGCGGAAGUACGCCAUAUGAGUUUGUUAAGCUCUGCUUUACUAAUUUAAUAACAAAUAGUUUGGCUCAAAAAUAUACAUUUUUUGGAUCCCAAACAAAAUCUGCUCUCCUCCAAUUUAAGGGUCCAAUCGAAUAACCAAUUUAAGUUUUGGGACUUAUUGAUUACUGCAGCAGUUCGUGAAAAUUCUGAGGUCACCGUACGUAUUCUGGUUUUCCGUACAUAAAAUUAUUUUGUUCUAUUUAGGUAAUAUUUAUAAU
Dendroctonus ponderosae (mountain pine beetle) is the source of this 411-nucleotide long non-coding RNA. RefSeq lists it as uncharacterized. The record is from RefSeq and is a predicted model, not a curated record. The transcript is spliced from 3 exons. Lineage: Eukaryota; Metazoa; Arthropoda; Insecta; Coleoptera; Curculionidae.